Molecule: non-coding RNA, 82 nt
Organism: Clostridium sp. W14A
Lineage: Bacteria; Bacillati; Bacillota; Clostridia; Eubacteriales; Clostridiaceae
Source: Rfam
AGAUAUGCGUUGAAGCGGGAGGUUGCGGCGCAAAUGCGCCGGUUUUUCCGUGGAGUAUGUCCGAUUUUAAACCGGGCGACAA